Molecule: long non-coding RNA, 711 nt
Filed under: Manduca sexta (tobacco hornworm)
Lineage: Eukaryota; Metazoa; Arthropoda; Insecta; Lepidoptera; Sphingidae
Description: uncharacterized LOC119190804, transcript variant X5
Source: RNAcentral
ACAAUACACACAAUAACACAUUAUAAAUACGACGAUAAUAAUUCACAAGUAACAUCAUCAUCAUCAUAAAUUCUUCGUGUACAUGACAGACAAGACAUGCGCGCACACGUCGAGACGCAUGCGCGCACGCCCGCUUCGCACGUACACAUGCGGUACCAGUUCGUGAACGCGACCAGCGCGCGCGGCCGCGCAUGCGUUGACGGAAGGAUGCAAGAAGUGUGCGGACCACCGGCCCCGGGCCCUCUCAACCUUUAUGCGAGUACCUACAUACAUACAUACAUAACUGUGCACCCGUACCGGCACCGUCUACUAUCUACUGUCGUCAAUUAGGAUGCAGUAUGGAUCGCAGACACAUCUCAUCGUCCAGUUUUCCAGUUUCCACCAGCCAUACCACCAGCUAUGACCAGGCACCAGACGCCAGCGGCGCUUCCUCAACGUUAUGCUUAAACGCCACACUAUAUAUGUACAGGGUGAAGGUUUCUUUUUAUAAUAAUUUAUAAAUAAUUAUAUAGAAAAAGUUAAAAACAAUUUUACCUGUGAAAAUUUUAUUAUCUAAAAUGUUCCAGUUUAACUGUAAUAGAUGGCGCUGUACCGUAACUUGAAUGUUUUCAAAAUUAUAUAUUUUUAUUGUGUACCUACCUUGUAAUUAUAAUUAUUAUAAAUAAAAAAUAUUAUAUCGCACGUUCAGAAUCGAAUCGUUACUAAACGGAA